AUGACCCCGUUGCUAAGCUUCCUCUUCUUAGCAGCAGUGUUAUCAGGUGUCCGGUCCGAAAUCCAGUUUGUCCAGUCUGGGGCAGAAAUCAAAAAGCCUGGAGAGUCUAUGAAGCUGACCUGUAAAGCGUCCGGCUACACAUUUAAUGAGUACCGAAUGAACUGGAUCCGACAGGCUCCCGGGAAAGGACUGGAGUGGGUAGCAUCCAUCAGGACAGAUACUUUUGAGACCUUCUAUCCCCAAAAUCUGAAAGGGCGAGUCACCAUCAGCGUGGAUGUUCCCCUCAGCACAGCGUAUUUGCAAAUGAACGGCCUAAAAUCUGAAGACAGUGCUGUGUAUUACUGUGCAAGGGGCACAGUGAGAAGAGACACAUCCCUGGCCACUCAUCAACCCUGCCUGAAAUGGCUCACUGUUGCUGACAGUGGUAUCAGAAAUGCAGUGCCCCCCAAGUGCCCUAAUGUCACAGCAAAUCUGAAGCCCUGA
Molecule: non-coding RNA, 483 nt
Organism: Caretta caretta (loggerhead turtle)
Lineage: Eukaryota; Metazoa; Chordata; Testudines; Cheloniidae
Source: the annotation of a RefSeq genome assembly